RNAcentral lists this ribosomal RNA (390 nucleotides) under uncultured bacterium. RNAcentral's name for it is "bacterial SSU rRNA". It matches the Rfam family "Bacterial small subunit ribosomal RNA", at positions 28 to 393 of the family's 1533-position model. The record is from RNAcentral.
GAUGAACGCUAGCGAUAGGCUUAACACAUGCAAGUCGAGGGGUAACGUGUUGGAAGCUUGCUCCCGAUGACGACGACCGGCGGAUGGGUGCGUAACGCGUAUGCAACUUGCCUCACAGUGGAGAAUAACCCGGAGAAAUCCGGACUAAUGUUCCAUACACUCUUUAGCACCCUGUGCGUAGAGGAAGAUUAUUCGCUGUGAGAUAGGCGAUGCGUCCUAUUAGGUAGGUUGGUGAGGUAACGGACGUCACCAACGACCGACCGAUAGGUAGGGUGGCUGAGAGGCAGAUCCCCACCAUUGGGUACGUGAGACACCGGCCCGAAACCUACCGUACCGGGAAGGCAGCAGUAGGAGGAAGUAUUGGUCAAUGGAGGAAACUCUGAACCAGCC